CUCCGGAGCCUGAGGCCGGCCGGCCCCGCCGGGCUGCGCCCCGCGGCCUGCAGAGGGAGCCGCGGCCGGCCGGCACAGCCGUCAGGGAACCGCAGAACGCCCACACGGAGGAGAAAAUCAUGCAGUGGUGAUAAAGCGACUGUGUGAAGUCAUAGAGGUACUGCUUGGUAAUAAGCACAUUGUUGGAGGUGCCACAUCCAGGGAUGGAGACUCCACCUCUGCCCUGUGUCAGGACCUGACAACCCCUCCUGUGAAGAAAUGUCUUGAAGACAAGAGGAAGAGAACUGCAUGCCAUCUGUAUCCUGAGUGCAGGCACAGCCACCAUUUCAAACAACCUUUCCUAGCUUAAAACCCUUACUGACAAUCUUGAUUUGGGGCAAGAAUAACAAAAGGUGGCACAUGAGGUCUACAGACUUGCUAUCAGUGGCAUUAAACAUGGAGCAGAACUACUCCUGUGACCAUGGAGCAUUCAGCAAAGGUUAUGAGCAUUAUCUGUUACAGCACAAGUAUCUCUGCCUUUGAUUGGAGCUCCUUGACAGCUCACAGGACUCCUUCCUCCUCCAAACAUCCCAUCCUACGCUUGGUAGUAAUUUGGUGCUUGCCCUUAGAAGUAAAUCCUUUGGCUUAAGAUAAAUAUCUAACCUGUAUUUUCCUUUUAUUUCACUUCUUGUUAUAACUUCACUUUGUGAUCUUCAUAGCAAAAGAUGAAGUAGGUCAUUAGUAGAUACGUCAAAUUAGCCUGGAGAAAUUAGCCUGGGGAAAAGGAGGCUCAGGAAGGACCUUGUGGUUCUCCACAACUCCCUGACAGGAGGGGACAGCCAGGUGGGGGUCAGGCUGUGCUCCCAGGGAACAAGGGACAGGAGGAGAGAAACAGCUUCAACUUGUUCCAGUGGAGGUUCAUGUUGGAUAUUAGGGGGAAAGUCUGCCUGGAAGGGGUUGUCAAGCCCUGACACAGGCUGCCCAAUGCAUUGGUGGAGUCACCAUCCCUGGAAAUAUCUGAAAAACAUGUGAAUGUGAUACUUAGGGACACAGACUUUAUGAUCUUAAAAGUCUUUUUCAGCCUAAACAAUUCUGUGAUUCUAGGAAACGCUAAUGACAGGGUGGGUUGGAGAUGUUACAGCACCAUGUGCACUGAUGGUCAGUCUAGGCAAUAUUCUACUCUCCCAAAGCUUCACAAACUGACAUUUUUUUCUUCAAGAUGUCAAAUCUUGAAUUAAAAAGUCUACUCCUUUAUGAGAGCUCCUGACCUGUACCCAGUGCAGGCAACCCUUAUGCUUUCAGAAAGAGAACAAAACAUUGAUGUAUCCUUAUAGACUAAAAGCUGCUGGUGAAAUUAUUCAUCCUUGAUGCCAAAGCAGAGCUAUUCCUAUGAAACUGAUCAAAAACUUUUUAUGAGCUCCAUUGUCUGCUGAAGUGCUCUCAGUACAUAGAUUAAAAGAGCAAAUCAAAGCAACUCCCUAGUUAAGCAAACUCCCAACCAGCCUACUAGUUCAAAGCCACAAGUCUGAACAAAAGGUCUG
Onychostruthus taczanowskii (white-rumped snowfinch) is the source of this 1520-nucleotide long non-coding RNA. RefSeq lists it as uncharacterized. The record is from RefSeq and is a predicted model, not a curated record. The transcript is spliced from 4 exons. Lineage: Eukaryota; Metazoa; Chordata; Aves; Passeriformes; Passeridae.